Cavia porcellus (domestic guinea pig) is the source of this 2580-nucleotide long non-coding RNA. RefSeq lists it as uncharacterized. Lineage: Eukaryota; Metazoa; Chordata; Mammalia; Rodentia; Caviidae. The record is from RefSeq and is a predicted model, not a curated record. The transcript is spliced from 3 exons.
GGGUAGUUACUGCACUGUUGAUUCUCCCGGAGAAGCUUGUUGUGCUGGCUUUCCAGAUAGGAAGUCAGUUCACAUUGCCAGGAGAGCUCGGGUCCUCACGGUUGCUACGGAAGGCUGUGGUUCUUUCCAGGGGAGCUCAGGCCCUUCCCUUCAUCAUCACUUCCUGGUUCCAGUGCAGGUCCUUAGCCUCACACAUCCUUCACCAUACGGGUAGAGACUUUCAGGAUUCCUGGCUUCCACCACUGACUUCUGGGCCUUCCCAGUGCAGAUCCUGGACACGGACUUGCCCGGCACAUUGUAGUGGACUCUAGGCCUCCUGUUGGAAUUGUGGAAGAUACUGCCAUGGGCUCGAGGUCCUCAGCUGGAUUCUUUGGGUCUCUAAUGAGUAGGCAGAUCUCUUGCACUUGUCUGCAUUUGACUUUUUGGGGUUAAUAUUAUAAAAUAUUCCUAUAAAUUACAUAUCCUGUAUUAAAUCUAUUUCCUUGGAAACCCUGACCACAACAAAGGAUAUAAAUCCCUUAGGUUCCAUUGUUCCCUGUUUCCUGCCUGCCACACCACCCUGCUGGCUACAGACUAAAACUACUACAAAUGCCCAGAACUCACAGAAAAAGUUUAGAACCGAGAGAAUCUCAUCCGUCUUGCUUUUGCUGUGGCCUCUGUAAGGACAGUGCCUGAUACAAGGACCAACUACUUGCUGUGUGAAGAGUCCUUUUCCUGGGGACAUUUGUUGAAAGCGGCUCCAGGAACUGGCUUGUGAAUUGGCUCCAGGAGCUGCAGCAAGUACCAAGAACAAUGAACAUCAGACUGUUUCAGUUGGAAACGUUACUGAGUCACAAGAUAAUCAACACUGACAGAUGUUGCAGGUCCAGUAGUAAACAAAUGAUUAUGGGGCAAACGUUUCUUUUCAAAAUGCAUCAGGCACAAAAUUUGCCAAGUUUCAAAGUAGAAGAGUAGCAAGGUCUGACUCUAGAGGCAUUGUUAAACCUUCUAACUCCCUGAGAGUGGAUAACAGGUGGAGUAGACAACAGAGGAUGCACAAAGCAGGAGAAGAAAAUUUGGAAAAUGAGAUGUCAAUAAGAACUUUGAAAAGGUCUGACAUGUUUCUUGUAAUCUAGAAAUCUAUGUGCAUUAUCAGGAUUUUAUGUGUUCUAGAGACACCAGCAAAGGACCCAAAUUCUUUUAACACUAUAUUGUUGUUUCUUAGACAUAAUAUUUGUACAUGAUUUGUGCAUAUAUGCAUCGUGCACUCAUCAAAUCAGGGUGAUAGGUGUUUUUGUCUCUUCAACAAUUAAUCAUCAUUAUUUCUUAGAAAUUUCAUUCUCUGCUAAUCAUUAUGAAAUGUAUCAGAUUGUUUAAACCAAUAGUUACCCUGCUGUGCCUAAGGAGAAUCCAGAGAAUGUAUCCAUUCUGUUUUCUUGUCUCCUAUUGAAUUUCUCUCCAUCCCCUUUAUGAGCUUCUCAGUCUCUAAUGACUACAAUUGCAUUUCAUUUUUCUGUAAGUUAGACUUGUCGGUUUCCAUAAAUGAGUGAGGACAUGUGGGGGUUAUCUCUCUAUGUUUGGCUUGUUACAUGUAAUAUAAUCACCAUCCAUGUAACUGCAAAUGAAGAAUUUCAUUAUUUUUAUGGCUAAAUAGUAUCUCAUUGUAUAAAUAUACCACACUUUAUAUUUAUCCACUUAAGUACAUUUGGAUUGAUUCUAUAUUUUGACUACUAUGAAUGAAUAUUGCUACAAUAAACAUAGGAAUGUAAGUCUUUUUUGGUAUAAUAAUUUCAUCUCCUUUAGAAUAGUACCAAGCAGUAAAAUUUCUGGAUCAUAUGAUAGUUGUAUUUUUAGUUUUUUGAGGAAUUUCCAUACUUUUUUCCAUAAUAGCUGUACUACUUUACAUUUAUACCUGUACUAUAAAAAAGUUUCCUUUUUUCCCAUCUUUACCAGCAUUUAUUUUUUCUUCUUUUAUAAUGGCCAUUCUCAUAGAGGUAAAAUGAUACUUCCUUAUGAUUUUGAUUUGUAUUUCUCUGAUGAUUACUGAAAUUGAGCAUUAUCCAUUUUUAUACCUUCCCUUGUGAAUAUACCUUUUGGUUUUUGAACAAUUUUUAAAUUGGACUGUUGGUUUUUUAUAUGUUUGUUUAUCUUGGUGUUCAGUUUUUUGAGUUUCUAGUGCAUUCAGGAUAGAAAUGUGUUGUUGAGUAUUUGAAAUGUUUCCAAAUAUUUCACCAGUUCUAUAGGUUUUCUCUUAAUGCUGUUAUUUCUAUUGCUGUACUGAAAUUGUUUAACUUGAUAUAAUGCCAUUUACUUGUUCUUUAGUUCCCUAUUCUUAGGAUUCUGUAUAAAAAAAUUGUUGCCUACAUCAAUGUCUUGAAGUGUUUUCCCUGUUUUCUUACAAUUGCAUUGUUAACAUUUAAGUCUUUGACCCAUUUUGAGUUGGUUUUUGUACAUAAUGGGAAGCACAAAUUCAGUUUCAUUCUUCUAUGUAUGCAUAUUCAGUUUUUUCAAUACUAUUUGUUUAUCCACUGAAUGUUGUUGGCACCUUUUUAAAACAAUCCCUCACCUGUAUGAAUGUAGAAUAAUUUCUGAGUUCUUUUA